RNAcentral lists this long non-coding RNA (937 nucleotides) under Solanum tuberosum (potato). Its description in RNAcentral is "long non-coding RNA (STUB_LNC000789)". The record is from RNAcentral. Lineage: Eukaryota; Viridiplantae; Streptophyta; Magnoliopsida; Solanales; Solanaceae.
UUGUAAUAAUUAUUUGUAUAUAUAAUAAAAAUAUAGCACAUCAAAAUUUAUAAAACUCUUAAAGUAAUCUAUUUUUGGUUCAACAAACACAAUAUUUAAAACAACAAUCAGAAGAGUUACAAUUAAAGCAACCAAUAACUAGCUCCUCCGACAAGCCUAUUCAAAUCCUCUAUAUAUGUAGUUUCUCUAUUUGUACAGUUUUUCUAUUCAUAACUUGUCUUUACAUUUCUGUUUACUAUUAAGAAUGUCAAAAUACUUAUACUUGCACUCCAUUUUUACUUGCUCGUUGAUCACUUGUGGUCGAGGCUUUUACUAAUUCCAGAAUGCAUAAUUCAUGGCCAUCCAAAUAAGAAUCUGCACAAAUAAUAAGUUUAUAUAAUGAAGCAUGUAUAUAUUCAACACUUGAAAUUUUAAAAACAAAAAUUGUAAUUCCUAACCUAAAUUGAAUAGGGAAAACACUUAACUCAAAAUUUUAAGCAAGGGUGGAAAUAAACUUACACUCUAUAUGUUCAUCCAUACAGUUAAAGAUGAAUAAUUCCAGCUAGUUCAAGACCGCCAUGUGGACCAUUCUUGUAGGCAUGUUUUAUACGAAACAAAAUGUUAUGUGUAGCCAGAUAUGCAAGAGUUAACCAAAAAAUAUCAACUUCAUUAGUUUAAAAUUUUUGUCAUUUAUAUGGAGUAGGAAACACAAAUAAACUUGACAACAUGUAUAUCUUGAAAUACAAGAGAACUCAAACUUUGAACCAUGGCUAAAUACAACAAUUGACAAUUUUGAAAGUUAAAACACCUUCUCUUCAAGACUUUGAAUUCAUUCACUCAAGGUGUUCUUGAUGUACAAUAUGGAUAUCACUAGAUUUUCAAAUAGGAUCAAAAUAAGUUAUCAGAUGUUAGCCCACAUUUAGAUAAACACAAAUCUGGACAAUUUCAUAUUUNNNNN